RNAcentral lists this ribosomal RNA (863 nucleotides) under uncultured bacterium. Its description in RNAcentral is "bacterial SSU rRNA". It matches the Rfam family "Bacterial small subunit ribosomal RNA", at positions 1 to 852 of the family's 1533-position model. The record is from RNAcentral.
UAGAGUUUGAUCCUGGCUCAGGAUGAACGCUAGCGACAGGCUUAACACAUGCAAGUCGAGGGGCAGCGGGGUAGGAAGCUUGCUUUCUGCCGCCGGCGACCGGCGCACGGGUGAGUAACACGUAUGCAACCUGGCCGUGACAGAUGGAUAACCGGGAGAAAUCCCGCCUAAUACAACAUAAUGCCGGGAGGGGACAUCCCCUGCCGGCCAAAGGGGGCGACCCCGGUCAUGGAUGGGCAUGCGGCGCAUUAGGUAGUUGGUGGGGCAACGGCCCACCAAGCCGACGAUGCGUAGGGGUUCUGAGAGGAAGGUCCCCCACAUUGGAACUGAGACACGGUCCAAACUCCUACGGGAGGCAGCAGUGAGGAAUAUUGGUCAAUGGCCGGAAGGCUGAACCAGCCAAGUCGCGUGAGGGAAUAAGGCCCUACGGGUCGUAAACCUCUUUUGCCAGGGAGCAAUGCCGUCCACGUGUGGACGGAAGGAGAGUACCUGGAGAAAAAGCAUCGGCUAACUCCGUGCCAGCAGCCGCGGUAAUACGGAGGAUGCGAGCGUUAUCCGGAUUUAUUGGGUUUAAAGGGUGCGUAGGCGGCCUGCCAAGUCAGCGGUAAAAUUGCGGGGCUCAACCCCGUACAGCCGUUGAAACUGCCGGGCUCGAGUGGGCGAGAAGUAUGCGGAAUGCGUGGUGUAGCGGUGAAAUGCAUAGAUAUCACGCAGAACCCCGAUUGCGAAGGCAGCAUACCGGCGCCCUACUGACGCUGAGGCACGAAAGUGCGGGGAUCAAACAGGAUUAGAUACCCUGGUAGUCCGCACAGUAAACGAUGAAUGCUAGCUGUCCGGGGGGAUUGACCCCUGGGUGGCACAGC